Molecule: non-coding RNA, 110 nt
Organism: Acanthosepion pharaonis
Lineage: Eukaryota; Metazoa; Mollusca; Cephalopoda; Sepiida; Sepiidae
Source: the annotation of a GenBank genome assembly
UGUCCAGAUCACUUUGAAACACCGGCUCCCGUACGAUCGUCGAAGUUAAGCAAGGUCGAGCCUGGGCAGUAGCUAGAUGGGUGACCGUUUGGGAAUACCAAUGGCUGUAA